This 207-nucleotide ribosomal RNA is filed under the name uncultured bacterium. Its description in RNAcentral is "partial 16S ribosomal RNA". It matches the Rfam family "Bacterial small subunit ribosomal RNA", at positions 568 to 774 of the family's 1533-position model. The record is from RNAcentral.
CGCGUAGGUGGUUCAGUAAGUUGAGUGAAAUCCCCGGGCUCAACCUGGGAACUGCUUUCAAAACCUAGCUGAGCUAGAGUACGGUAGAGGGUGGUGGAAUUUCCUGUGUAGCGGUGAAAUGUGUAGAUAUAGGAAGGAACACCAGUGGCGAAGGCGACCACCUGGACUGAUACUGACACUGAGGUGCGAAAGCGUGGGGAGCAAACA